UGGGGAAUAUUGCACAAUGGGGGAAACCCUGAUGCAGCGACGCCGCGUGAGCGAAGAAGGCUUUCGAGUCGUAAAGCUCUGUCCUAUGAGAAGAUAAUGACGGUAUCAUAGGAGGAAGCCCUGGCUAAAUACGUGCCAGCAGCCGCGGUAAUACGUAUGGGGCGAGCGUUGUCCGGAAUUAUUGGGUGUAAAGGGUACGUAGGCGGUUUUUUAAGUCAGGUGUCAAAGCGUGGAGCUUAACUCCAUUAAGCACUUGAAACUGAAAGACUUGAGUGAAGGAGAGGAAAGUGGAAUUCCUAGUGUAGCGGUGAAAUGCGUAGAUAUUAGGAGGAAUACCGGUGGCGAAGGCGACUUUCUGGACUUUUACUGACGCUCAGGUACGAAAGCGUGGGGAGCAAACAGG
RNAcentral lists this ribosomal RNA (403 nucleotides) under Verrucomicrobiota bacterium. Its description in RNAcentral is "Verrucomicrobia bacterium partial 16S ribosomal RNA". It matches the Rfam family "Bacterial small subunit ribosomal RNA", at positions 355 to 776 of the family's 1533-position model. Lineage: Bacteria; Pseudomonadati; Verrucomicrobiota. The record is from RNAcentral.